RNAcentral lists this ribosomal RNA (450 nucleotides) under uncultured bacterium. Its description in RNAcentral is "bacterial SSU rRNA". It matches the Rfam family "Bacterial small subunit ribosomal RNA", at positions 354 to 796 of the family's 1533-position model. The record is from RNAcentral.
GUGGGGAAUAUUGGACAAUGGGCGAAAGCCUGAUCCAGCCAUGCCGCGUGUGUGAAGAAGGUCUUCGGAUUGUAAAGCACUUUAAGUUGGGAGGAAGGGCAGUAAGUUAAUACCUUGCUGUUUUGACGUUACCGACAGAAUAAGCACCGGCUAACUUCGUGCCAGCAGCCGCGGUAAUACGAAGGGUGCAAGCGUUAAUCGGAAUGACUGGGCGUAAAGCGCGCGUAGGUGGUUCGUUAAGUUGGAUGUGAAAGCCCCGGGCUCAACCUGGGAACUGCAUCCAAAACUGGCGAGCUAGAGUACGGUAGAGGGUGGUGGAAUUUCCUGUGUAGCGGUGAAAUGCGUAGAUAUAGGAAGGAACACCAGUGGCGAAGGCGACCACCUGGACUGAUACUGACACUGAGGUGCGAAAGCGUGGGGAGCAAACAGGAUUAGAAACCCGGGUAGUCC